AAACAGCACACCUCUGUGGUAUCAUCUCUCAUCCUCCUCUCCAGGAAAUCUUAUACUAAGUACUUUAAUUUCAUAAGCUUCUCUGGUGUGUGGAAGGCCAUACAUAGUGAGCUCCCUUCAGUCCAAUACAGAGGGUCGAGAGGCGGACCGAGCUGCCAUCUCAUGCACCAGGCUAUGCUCAAUCGUUUCGACGCUAGUUGGAGGGAUCGAUUGGGUCGGGUAAUCAGUCAAUCAAAGGUUGAGCCUAGCUAGGUGCAUGGUGUGGGAGCAACUCCUUCCGUUGUGCUCUGCUCAUUGAUUGGACUGAAGGGAGCUCCCAUAGCAUCUCUCCAUGUGGUUUCAGCAUUAAUCAUCUUGUUCUUGGCUUGCAUAUGCAUUGAUAUUGCUCUUCCUAUAUGUUGCUUGUUCCACUAAUCUCUCCUUUUUCCUCGGAUUUAUUAGUCAAGAAACAAGUCCAAAGAGAAGAGGAAGCAUUUCGAUGCAGGGGAACGAGACACGACGCGGUCGAAUCCAGCCAAACCAUGCACACAGUGAUGUAGACGACGCUUGAUCUUUAUCAUCCAAGCCUGCCUAAUACCUAUCGCGGGGCAGACGCAGCAGCGAGCGCGCGAGUCUCGCCUUCAGUGACCCAUGAAAGUGAAAACGAUGGCCUGCUUUGGAGCACAAACUCAACCAGUGUAGAGAUGGUGAAGAGGCGCAUAACACAAGCAAGCUCAUUGCACACUGACAUUUCAUGACUGAAAGUGAUGAACUGAAGAAGCAGGACUAAUAAGAAAGAUCUCCCAGUGGGUUUCUGAGAUCACAAAGCCUUGUAACAAUGGUUCAAUGCACUUGAUUGGAUGUAAAUCGACUCCCGAGUCACCUCAUCAGCAAGUUCAGUAAAGCUAGGGUUUCUUGUUUUGGAUCA
Syzygium oleosum is the source of this 907-nucleotide long non-coding RNA. RefSeq lists it as uncharacterized. Lineage: Eukaryota; Viridiplantae; Streptophyta; Magnoliopsida; Myrtales; Myrtaceae. The record is from RefSeq and is a predicted model, not a curated record. The transcript has 2 exons.